UGGGGAAUUUUGGACAAUGGGGGCAACCCUGAUCCAGCAAUGCCGCGUGUGUGAAGAAGGCCUUCGGGUUGUAAAGCACUUUUGUCCGGAAAGAAAACGCCGUGGUUAAUACCCGUGGCGGAUGACGGUACCGGAAGAAUAAGCACCGGCUAACUACGUGCCAGCAGCCGCGGUAAUACGUAGGGUGCAAGCGUUAACCGGAAUUACUGGGCGUAAAGCGUGCGCAGGCGGUCCGCUAAGACAGAUGUGAAAUCCCCGGGCUUAACCUGGGAACUGCAUUUGUGACUGGCGGGCUAGAGUAUGGCAGAGGGGGGUAGAAUUCCACGUGUAGCAGUGAAAUGCGUAGAGAUGUGGAGGAAUACCGAUGGCGAAGGCAGCCCCCUGGGCCAAUACUGACGCUCAUGCACGAAAGCGUGGGGAGCAAACAGGAUUAGAUACCCUGGUAGUCCACGCCCUAAACGAUGUCAACUAGUUGUCGGGUCUUCAUUGACUUGGUAACGUAGCUAACGCGUGAAG
Molecule: ribosomal RNA, 516 nt
Filed under: uncultured bacterium
Lineage: Bacteria
Description: partial 16S ribosomal RNA
Rfam family: Bacterial small subunit ribosomal RNA
Source: RNAcentral